UCUCUCAAAUCUUUAAAAAAAAUUUUUUUUAAAAGAAGUUUUGUGGCUAUAUUGAAACACAAGUUAUGCUUCCAUCACAGCAGAUUUAUUGCAGUGGUGACAAUGAGACUUAUAACAUUU
Nyctereutes procyonoides (raccoon dog) is the source of this 120-nucleotide small nucleolar RNA. RefSeq annotates it as small nucleolar RNA SNORA1. The transcript has a single exon. Lineage: Eukaryota; Metazoa; Chordata; Mammalia; Carnivora; Canidae. The record is from RefSeq and is a predicted model, not a curated record.